RNAcentral lists this ribosomal RNA (460 nucleotides) under uncultured bacterium. RNAcentral's name for it is "partial 16S ribosomal RNA". It matches the Rfam family "Bacterial small subunit ribosomal RNA", at positions 338 to 795 of the family's 1533-position model. The record is from RNAcentral.
CCUACGGGUGGCAGCAGUGAGGAAUAUUAGUCAAUGGGCGCGAGCCUGAACCAGCCAAGUAGCGUGAAGGAUGACUGCCCUACGGGUUGUAAACUUCUUUUAUAAAGGAAUAAAGUGAGGCACGUGUGCCUUUUUGUAUGUCCUUUAUGAAUAAGGAUCGGCUAACUCCGUGCCAGCAGCCGCGGUAAUACGGAGGGGCCGAGCGUUAUCCGGAUUUAUUGGGUUUAAAGGGAGCGUAGAUGGGUUGUUAAGUCAGUUGUGAAAGUUUGAGGCUCAACCGUAAAAUUGCAAUUGAUACUGGCAGCCUUGAGUACAGUAGAGGUAGGCGGAAUUCGUGGUGUAGCGGUGAAAUGCUUAGAUAUCACGAAGAACACCGAUUGCGAAGGCAGCUUACUAAACUGCCACUGACAUUGAUGCUCGAAAGUGUGGGUAUCAAACAGGAUUAGAUACCCCAGUAGUC